Molecule: transfer RNA, 77 nt
Filed under: Mycoplasmopsis arginini
Lineage: Bacteria; Bacillati; Mycoplasmatota; Mycoplasmoidales; Metamycoplasmataceae
Description: Mycoplasma arginini tRNA-His
Source: RNAcentral
GCGCCCAUAGCUCAAUUGGACAGAGUGUUUGAUUAUGGCUCAAGAGGUUGCAAUUUCAACUCCUGUAUUUCCUGCCA